RNAcentral lists this non-coding RNA (172 nucleotides) under Anoxybacteroides amylolyticum. RNAcentral describes it as "Anoxybacillus amylolyticus GlcN6P sequence". It matches the Rfam family "glmS glucosamine-6-phosphate activated ribozyme aptamer". From Rfam's summary of the family: This entry contains a glucosamine-6-phosphate activated ribozyme that is found in the mRNA for GlmS. GlmS is an enzyme that uses fructose-6-phosphate and glutamine to generate glucosamine-6-phosphate. Lineage: Bacteria; Bacillati; Bacillota; Bacilli; Caryophanales; Anoxybacillaceae. The record is from Rfam by way of RNAcentral.
AACUGUAUAAAAGCGCCUGGACUAAGCUUUGGACGAGAAAAAAGCUUAGUUGACGAGGAGGAGGUUUAUCGAGUGUUCGGCGGAUGCCUCCCGGUUGUUGCGAUUACAACCGCAAACCUUUCCUUAAAACAAAGAGGCGACUCUUUGCACAAAGGGAAAGGUAUAAUCGCCA